CCGAUGUUACGACGGCUUUACAUGA
RNAcentral lists this microRNA (25 nucleotides) under Tribolium castaneum (red flour beetle). RNAcentral describes it as "tca-miR-3893-5p". Lineage: Eukaryota; Metazoa; Arthropoda; Insecta; Coleoptera; Tenebrionidae. The record is from miRBase by way of RNAcentral.